Molecule: ribosomal RNA, 542 nt
Filed under: Atopobium sp.
Lineage: Bacteria; Bacillati; Actinomycetota; Coriobacteriia; Coriobacteriales; Atopobiaceae
Description: partial 23S ribosomal RNA
Rfam family: Bacterial large subunit ribosomal RNA
Source: RNAcentral
GGUCGAGCAGGUGCGAAAGCAGGAACUAGUGAUCCGGCCAUGGCACGUGGGUGCGUGGUCGCUCAACGGAUAAAAGGUACCCCGGGGAUAACAGGCUGAUCUUGCCCAAGAGUCCAUAUCGACGGCAUGGUUUGGCACCUCGAUGUCGGCUCGUCGCAUCCUGGGGCUGGAGUUGGUCCCAAGGGUUGGGCUGUUCGCCCAUUAAAGCGGUACGCGAGCUGGGUUCAGAACGUCGUGAGACAGUUCGGUCCCUAUCCUCUGUGGGCGUAGGAAAAUUGAGGGAGGCUGCCCCUAGUACGAGAGGACCGGGGUGGACGGACCUCCGGUGUACGGGUUGUUAACCAAUAGCAUUGCCCGGUAGCUGAGUCCGGUCGGGAUAACCGCUGAAAGCAUCUAAGCGGGAAGCCCAUCCCAAGAUGAGUUUUCCUUUCGGUAAGACCCCUUGUAGACUACGAGGUUGAUAGGAUGCAGAUGUAAGUGCUGUAAGGCAUUCAGUCGAGCAUUACUAAUCGGUCGAGCUCUUCUUUUCUUUAAUAUAUUUU